AGUUAAAAAGCUUUAGAAAGCAUAUAUUUUGAAAAUAUAAGAAAAAGGUUUAAUUCCUUUAUUAACUU
This 68-nucleotide transfer RNA is filed under the name Sigara lateralis. Its description in RNAcentral is "tRNA-Ser". It matches the Rfam family "tRNA". Rfam says of the family: Transfer RNA (tRNA) molecules are approximately 80 nucleotides in length. Their secondary structure includes four short double-helical elements and three loops (D, anti-codon, and T loops). The record is from RNAcentral. RNAcentral also lists the same sequence under 4 other names. Lineage: Eukaryota; Metazoa; Arthropoda; Insecta; Hemiptera; Corixidae.